Molecule: ribosomal RNA, 468 nt
Filed under: uncultured bacterium
Lineage: Bacteria
Description: partial 16S ribosomal RNA
Rfam family: Bacterial small subunit ribosomal RNA
Source: RNAcentral
GACGAACGCUGGCGGCGUGCUUAACACAUGCAAGUCGAACGGAAAGGCCCUGCUUUUGUGGGGUGCUCGAGUGGCGAACGGGUGAGUAACACGUGAGUAACCUGCCCUUGACUUUGGGAUAACUUCAGGAAACUGGGGCUAAUACCGGAUAGGAGCUCCUGCUGCAUGGUGGGGGUUGGAAAGUUUCGGCGGUUGGGGAUGGACUCGCGGCUUAUCAGCUUGUUGGUGGGGUAGUGGCUUACCAAGGCUUUGACGGGUAGCCGGCCUGAGAGGGUGACCGGCGAAAUUGGGACUGAGAUACGGAGCAGAAUGGUACGGGAGGCAGCAGUGGGGAAUAUUGCAAAAUGGGAGGAAGCCUGAUGCAGAAACGCCGCGUGCGGGAUGAAGGCCUUCGGGUUGUAAACAGAAUUCGCAUAUGACGAAGCGUGAGUGACGGUAAUGGGUAAAGAAGCACCGGCUAACUACGUG